RNAcentral lists this ribosomal RNA (494 nucleotides) under uncultured bacterium. Its description in RNAcentral is "bacterial SSU rRNA". It matches the Rfam family "Bacterial small subunit ribosomal RNA", at positions 25 to 518 of the family's 1533-position model. The record is from RNAcentral.
CAGGACGAACGCUGGCGGCGUGCCUAACACAUGCAAGUCGAACGGGGAUUUGUUUCGGCAGAAUCCUAGUGGCGAACGGGUGAGUAACGCGUAGGCAACCUGCCCUCCGGCCGGGGACAACACUCCGAAAGGGGUGCUAAUACCGGAUACGAAGUCUGUGCCGCAUGGUACGGAUUUGAAAGAUGGCCUCUAUUUAUAAGCUAUCGCCGGGGGAUGGGCCUGCGUCCGAUUAGCUGGUUGGUGGGGUAACGGCCCACCAAAGCGACGAUCGGUAGCCGUACUGAGAGGUAGAACGGCCACAUUGGGACUGAGACACGGCCCAGACUCCUACGGGAGGCAGCAGUGGGGAAUAUUGCACAAUGGAGGAAACUUCCUGAUGCAGCGAUGCCGCGUGAGGGAAGAAGGUUUUCGGAUUGUAAACCUCUGUAGUACGGGAACGAAAAAAUGACGGUACCGUACAAGAAAGCUCCGGCUAACUACGUGCCAGCCGCCGC